RNAcentral lists this unclassified non-coding RNA (244 nucleotides) under plant metagenome. RNAcentral describes it as "partial contains small subunit ribosomal RNA, internal transcribed spacer 1, and 5.8S ribosomal RNA". The record is from RNAcentral.
UCUCUGUUGGUGAACCAGCGGAGGGAUCAUUACCGAGUUUACAACUCCCAAACCCAAUGUGAACCAUACCAAACUGUUGCCUCGGCGGGGUCACGCCCCGGGUGCGUCGCAGCCCCGGAACCAGGCGCCCGCCGGAGGGACCAACCAAACUCUUUCUGUAGUCCCCUCGCGGACGUUAUUUUUACAGCUCUGAGCAAAAAUUCAAAAUGAAUCAAAACUUCCAACAACGGAUCUCUUGGUUCUG